Molecule: ribosomal RNA, 142 nt
Filed under: Anaerolineae bacterium
Lineage: Bacteria; Bacillati; Chloroflexota; Anaerolineae
Description: partial 23S ribosomal RNA
Rfam family: Bacterial large subunit ribosomal RNA
Source: RNAcentral
AUCGCUGGGUAGCCAUGUCUGGCAAAGAUAACCGCUGAAAGCAUCUAAGUGGGAAACUUGCCCUAAGAUUAGAUCCCUGUAUUCCCGUAAGGGAGUAAGACCCCAGAUAGACUAUCUGGUAUAUAGGCAGUGUGUGUAAGCA